Non-coding RNA from Spinacia oleracea (spinach), 140 nucleotides. NCBI's taxonomy places the organism in Eukaryota, Viridiplantae, Streptophyta, Magnoliopsida, Caryophyllales, Amaranthaceae. The record is from Rfam.
CCGCAUGUUGCACCCUGGGCUUCUCUGAACAUUGAAAGUUGACGAUGUUAAGUCCCAAUGCUCAUGCUAUACCAUUGCCCUUCGUGUUGCAGUUCGGCUGCGUCAAACAGCUGAUUUGUGUCUAUUCAAUGGCUAAAUUC